CUAAAUAUCCUAAAAACAUAAGAAUCUGUUAUGAAAUAAACACUAUUACAUAAACCUGAUUUAUAUGUUAAAUCUGUUCGGAGAAACACAUAAAUAACAAUCGUAACUCCCCAUGAUUAGGUCGAUUUUAAAGCUACAGUUCUUAGCCGUACUUGUUACUUUUUUGUUAGUAAAACUAACAAAUGGAUCCCUAGAAAGAUAUGGGAUAAAUCUUUGACGAUGGGCCUUAACCGAGGUUUGGGAAUCUAGAGACAAGUUAGUAAGUUACCACUCCGUAUUAAAUAUGUUGGGCUCACAACCCGUUUACCUAUGUGGAUCCGGAAUAUAUGGACUGUGGACACCACAAUUCGAUUUCAAAAGUUUGAACGAUUGUUUUGACUAUAUGAGGGAGAAUUCAGAAUUGCAGGAGUUUGCUGUGUGCGAAUGGUAGAUUUCCUGAAGAAUCCAGAAACUUCCUGGGACCUUUGCUUGAGCUAUUGACAUGCAGGCUAUAGCAAAUCAGCAAUACGUCAAAAACCACCAUUACACCGGCGCAAAAAAAAAAAAUCUCCCUAGUGCGAAACUCGUGGAAUCCGUAGGAAUCGUAUGGGAGAUAGGGGUCCGCAUUCGAUCUAAAACUCCGUCGAAAUUUUGGAUAUCAGGUCCGGUUCUAAGGUUUUGAAUAUUUCAGGCCAAGAGAACCAAGAAGGUCAGGAUUGUUGGGAAAUACGGUGAGUUCUUCUGUGAUGAUGUUAAAGGAUGUCAUAUUGCAUAACAUAAUGCCAUUUGAUUGGAAUUUCUUUUGGUUUGGCAAACUCAUGAAGAUUCACUGAGGAAUAAGAUCGAACAGGUGGUUGGCAAACCAAAUCUGCUGCGAAUUUGUGGCUAAAUUACAAAACAGAAUAUAUGGGGAUGCUUCAAAUAUCACUGAGAUUAUAAAAAUGAGCGAUUAAUUUGAUACCCAGAUGGAUUAUUGGAUUACAACAAUAGGGUGGUCAAAUUUAUUGAAAAAAAAUAGUGCGAAAUUAGCUGAUCCCCAUUUUGGUGUUUGAAGUUGGAGACAAUUUGUGGCGAAUCGAAACUAUUUGCACUAUUUUUGUGGAUUUAUAUUGUAUUCUGUGUAGUAUAGUUCAUUAAGUUAUUUUGGGUGGAUUUCUCUGUAAUUUCAAAAUAGAAUUGAGGAUGGGUGAGACACUGAGACUGUGAGAGGGAGGAGUUAGGACAUUCCGAAAAGGGGGAAGUUAGUGCCCACUAACUAGAGGUCUGGCAUAUGGCAUAACUAAGUUAGUGCCUUUUUCUAUAACUAUAUUUUUUUCGUCAUGGUUGCAAUUGUAUAAUUCGGAAUUCUGUUGUUUUGUGGUUGAUUAUUAUAGAAGGGUUCUAUUAAUUCCUAAAGUUUGAUGUUCUAUAUUAAUUCUUUAUUUUGGUACUAAGAUUUAAAUUCUUUGUCAU
Molecule: long non-coding RNA, 1431 nt
Organism: Spinacia oleracea (spinach)
Lineage: Eukaryota; Viridiplantae; Streptophyta; Magnoliopsida; Caryophyllales; Amaranthaceae
Exons: 4
Source: RefSeq, a predicted model, not a curated record